GACAGAAGGGACGAGCGUUGUUCAUAUUUACUGGGCGUCAAGGGUAUGUAGGUGGUUUUUAGUGUUUUGUGCUAAAGUCUAUGGAUGCGCCCAUUAGUCGGCACUUUUUACAAUUUAAACUUGAGUUUGGUGAAGGUUUGGAGAACUCUCUGUGGAGUAUUAAAAUGCGAAAAUAUAGAGAUGACUGCCGAUGAUAAAGAUACCGUUCUUAGCUAAACUGACACUGAGGUACGGAAGUAUGGGUAUCGAACGGG
This 254-nucleotide ribosomal RNA is filed under the name uncultured bacterium. RNAcentral's name for it is "partial 16S ribosomal RNA". It matches the Rfam family "Bacterial small subunit ribosomal RNA", at positions 524 to 776 of the family's 1533-position model. The record is from RNAcentral.